This 465-nucleotide ribosomal RNA is filed under the name Vreelandella stevensii. RNAcentral's name for it is "partial 16S ribosomal RNA". It matches the Rfam family "Bacterial small subunit ribosomal RNA", at positions 338 to 795 of the family's 1533-position model. The record is from RNAcentral. Lineage: Bacteria; Pseudomonadati; Pseudomonadota; Gammaproteobacteria; Oceanospirillales; Halomonadaceae.
CCUACGGGUGGCAGCAGUGGGGAAUAUUGGACAAUGGGGGGAACCCUGAUCCAGCCAUGCCGCGUGUGUGAAGAAGGCCCUCGGGUUGUAAAGCACUUUCAGUGAGGAAGAACGCCUGGUGGUUAAUACCCAUCAGGAAAGACAUCACUCACAGAAGAAGCACCGGCUAACUCCGUGCCAGCAGCCGCGGUAAUACGGAGGGUGCGAGCGUUAAUCGGAAUUACUGGGCGUAAAGCGCGCGUAGGUGGCUUGAUAAGCCGGUUGUGAAAGCCCCGGGCUCAACCUGGGAACGGCAUCCGGAACUGUCAAGCUAGAGCGCAGGAGAGGAAGGUAGAAUUCCCGGUGUAGCGGUGAAAUGCGUAGAGAUCGGGAGGAAUACCAGUGGCGAAGGCGGCCUUCUGGACUGACACUGACACUGAGGUGCGAAAGCGUGGGUAGCAAACAGGAUUAGAUACCCGAGUAGUC